CAGUGGGGGUGGGGGCAGAGGGAGGAUUAUUUGUUUUUAAUUAUUUGGAUUCUCUACAGAACGACGCCGGCGCCUUCUGGAGAAGGAAUUUUCGUAACAAAUUGGAACCUUCAGUCACUUUGGAUCUGGAAGGCGAGGUCGGACGUGACCCGGGAACGGGAAGGCCCAGGUUUCAUUCAAGCCCUCUCUGGAGAGAAAGCCGCUUGAAGAAGCCUAUCUCCCGUAGCGCCCGCCCGGGAUUCCCUCUGCAGAUGCAGCUGCGAGCAAGCACCCGGCCCAGUCUACGCCGCGACCCGGGACACCCGCCUGCCUGUCUGCCCGCUUGCGGAUGUCUCCCCAUCCGCGUUGCUGGAUUAAGCCUGAGAUUGUAAAUCCCACAUUACGAAAAAAAGGGCAAUUAGCGGGGGAGAGAGCAGCCAGCGGGCUGUCAUUUGAAAAUACUGAAGUCGAUUAUAAACUCCGGAACAGAAUCCUAUUAAAUUACAUUCGCUGUGCGUUAUGAGUCGCACAUACGCCUCAAGUGCAUCGUAUGCAAUAAUGCAAACACGCUAUUUAUACUUUUAAAUAUCCCUAUGUCCGCCUGGGUGUGCAUUUCUUCGCUAGAAAUGGAUGCCUGGGUCACGGUUUCCUAUACAGUCGGACUGCAAGUUUGUAAUUUUUUUUUCUGAAUGGUAUACGCAUUUGAAAACGAAAAAUGCGGAAUGUCACCGAUGCCUUUUAUCAGAUCAAAUUUGUUCUUGAUUCUAAAGGGAAAAUUAAUAUAUCCAUUUAAACAAAGCCAUGCCGACUGGCUUUUGUCCAUUUGAAUAUUUUCUAAUUUUGAGAAGUUGCUCGAGAUCUGGAUGGAGCUGCUUUAAUUUGAUUGACAAGUGAUGUCACAUUAGUUAAGGAAAAAUGAUUUAGCAAUACAAUUAGUAUGACAAUGUAGUCAGACACCUGUUUCUGUGAAUGGUAGGGAAAAAAAGUUGCACAUGAAAACACGAUUAUAUAAAUCUCUACUAUCCAAGCACA
This is a long non-coding RNA of Ornithorhynchus anatinus (platypus), 1011 nucleotides long. RefSeq lists it as uncharacterized. The record is from RefSeq and is a predicted model, not a curated record. Lineage: Eukaryota; Metazoa; Chordata; Mammalia; Monotremata; Ornithorhynchidae. The transcript has 2 exons.